Molecule: ribosomal RNA, 496 nt
Filed under: uncultured bacterium
Lineage: Bacteria
Description: partial 16S ribosomal RNA
Rfam family: Bacterial small subunit ribosomal RNA
Source: RNAcentral
AUUGAACGCUGGCGGAAUGCUUUACACAUGCAAGUCGAACGGUAGAGGGGGCAACCCCUCGAGAGUGGCGAACGGGUGAGUAAUAUAUCGGAACGUGCCCAGUCGUGGGGGAUAACGUAGCGAAAGUUACGCUAAUACCGCAUACGAUCUAAGGAUGAAAGCGGGGGAUCGCAAGACCUCGCGCGAUUGGAGCGGCCGAUAUCAGAUUAGGUAGUUGGUGGGGUAAAGGCCCACCAAGCAAACGAUCUGUAGCUGGUCUGAGAGGACGACCAGCCACACUGGAACUUAGCGACUGUCCAGACUCCUACGGGAGGCAGCAGUGGGGAAUUUUGGACAAUGGGCGAAAGCCUGAUCCAGCCAUUCCGCGUGCAGGAUGAAGGCCCUCGGGUUGUAAACUGCUUUUGUACAGAACGAAAAGGUUUCUACUAAUACUAGGAGCUCAUGACGGUACUGUAAGAAUAAGCACCGGCUAACUACGUGCCAGCCGCCGCCGUAA